Molecule: ribosomal RNA, 772 nt
Filed under: uncultured bacterium
Lineage: Bacteria
Description: bacterial SSU rRNA
Rfam family: Bacterial small subunit ribosomal RNA
Source: RNAcentral
GUCUCUUCGGGGAUGAUUAAACCGGCGCACGGGUGAGUAACACGUGAGUGACCUGCCUUUUAGACUGGAACAACUUACCGAAAGGUGAGCUAAUGCCGGAUGAGUUAUAUAAGUGCAUGUUUAUAUAGGAAAAGUUGGGGAGACCUGACGCUGAAAGAUGGACUCGCGUCCCAUUAGCUAGUUGGUAGGGUAAUGGCCUACCAAGGCGACGAUGGGUAGCCGGCCUGAGAGGGUGGCCGGCCACACUGGGACUGAGACACGGCCCAGACUCCUACGGGAGGCAGCAGUGGGGAAUUUUGCGCAAUGCUCGUAAGAGUGACGCAGCGACGCCGCGUGAAUGACGAAGGCCUUCGGGUCGUAAAGUUCUUUCGACAGGGAAGAAAAUGCCUAUAAGUAACUGUGUAUGUAUUGACGGUACCUGUAUAAGCAGCCCCGGCUAACUCCGUGCCAGCAGCCGCGGUAAUACGGAGGGGGCGAGCGUUGUUCGGAGUGACUGGGCGUAAAGAGCACGUAGGCGGUGUUGUAAGUCAUUAGUCAAAGACUAGAGCUCAACUUUAGUAAGGCUAGUGAUACUAUAAUACUAGAGUAUCAGAGAGGAUUGCAGAAUUCCUGGUGUAGCGGUGAAAUGCGUAGAUAUCAGGAGGAAUACCGUUAGCGAAGGCGGCAAUCUGGCUGGAAACUGACGCUGAGGUGCGAAAGCGUGGGUAGCAAACAGGAUUAGAUACCCUGGUAGUCCACGCUGUAAACGAUGGAUGCUAGGUGUUGGGCUUUU